GGUUGUAGCUCAGCGGUAGAGCACUUGCCUAGCACGCACAAGGCCCUGGGUUAGAUCCUCAGCACCA
This 67-nucleotide transfer RNA is filed under the name Marmota monax (woodchuck). RNAcentral's name for it is "tRNA.Ala". It matches the Rfam family "tRNA". Rfam says of the family: Transfer RNA (tRNA) molecules are approximately 80 nucleotides in length. Lineage: Eukaryota; Metazoa; Chordata; Mammalia; Rodentia; Sciuridae. The record is from RNAcentral.